This is a non-coding RNA of Mycena galopus ATCC 62051, 90 nucleotides long. The record is from the annotation of a GenBank genome assembly. Lineage: Eukaryota; Fungi; Basidiomycota; Agaricomycetes; Agaricales; Mycenaceae.
GUCCUUGUAGAGAAACAUAACUCGCUCCCUGCUGUUAGGCAGUCAGAUCUGUUGAUGGGAGAGCCGGUGGUUCGAGCCCACCCGAGGACA